This 446-nucleotide ribosomal RNA is filed under the name uncultured Alphaproteobacteria bacterium. RNAcentral describes it as "bacterial SSU rRNA". It matches the Rfam family "Bacterial small subunit ribosomal RNA", at positions 46 to 526 of the family's 1533-position model. Lineage: Bacteria; Pseudomonadati; Pseudomonadota; Alphaproteobacteria. The record is from RNAcentral.
GCUUAACACAUGCAAGUCGAACGGUAGCAGGUCCUUCGGGAUGCUGACGAGUGGCGGACGGGUGCGUAACGCGUGGGAAUCUGCCCAAUAGUGGGGGAUAACCCGGGGAAACCCGGGCUAAUACCGUAUGCCCCCUACGGGGGAAAGAUUUAUCGCCAUCAGAUGGGCCCGCGUAGGAUUAGCUAGUUGGUGAGGUAACGGCUCACCAAGGCGACGAUCCUUAGCUGGUCUGAGAGGAUGAUCAGCCACACUGGGACUGAGACACGGCCCAGACUCCUACGGGAGGCAGCAGUGGGGAAUAUUGGACAAUGGGCGCAAGCCUGAUCCAGCCAUGCCGCGUGAGUGAUGAAGGCCUUCGGGUUGUAAAGCUCUUUUGGCGGGGACGAUGAUGACGGUACCCGCAGAAUAAGCCCCGGCUAACUUCGUGCCAGCAGCCGCGGUAAUAC